Molecule: ribosomal RNA, 2904 nt
Filed under: Escherichia coli
Lineage: Bacteria; Pseudomonadati; Pseudomonadota; Gammaproteobacteria; Enterobacterales; Enterobacteriaceae
Description: 23S ribosomal RNA
Rfam family: Bacterial large subunit ribosomal RNA
Source: RNAcentral
GGUUAAGCGACUAAGCGUACACGGUGGAUGCCCUGGCAGUCAGAGGCGAUGAAGGACGUGCUAAUCUGCGAUAAGCGUCGGUAAGGUGAUAUGAACCGUUAUAACCGGCGAUUUCCGAAUGGGGAAACCCAGUGUGUUUCGACACACUAUCAUUAACUGAAUCCAUAGGUUAAUGAGGCGAACCGGGGGAACUGAAACAUCUAAGUACCCCGAGGAAAAGAAAUCAACCGAGAUUCCCCCAGUAGCGGCGAGCGAACGGGGAGGAGCCCAGAGCCUGAAUCAGUGUGUGUGUUAGUGGAAGCGUCUGGAAAGGCGCGCGAUACAGGGUGACAGCCCCGUACACAAAAAUGCACAUAUUGUGAGCUCGAUGAGUAGGGCGGGACACGUGGUAUCCUGUCUGAAUAUGGGGGGACCAUCCUCCAAGGCUAAAUACUCCUGACUGACCGAUAGUGAACCAGUACCGUGAGGGAAAGGCGAAAAGAACCCCGGCGAGGGGAGUGAAAAAGAACCUGAAACCGUGUACGUACAAGCAGUGGGAGCACGCUUAGGCGUGUGACUGCGUACCUUUUGUAUAAUGGGUCAGCGACUUAUAUUCUGUAGCAAGGUUAACCGAAUAGGGGAGCCGAAGGGAAACCGAGUCUUAACUGGGCGUUAAGUUGCAGGGUAUAGACCCGAAACCCGGUGAUCUAGCCAUGGGCAGGUUGAAGGUUGGGUAACACUAACUGGAGGACCGAACCGACUAAUGUUGAAAAAUUAGCGGAUGACUUGUGGCUGGGGGUGAAAGGCCAAUCAAACCGGGAGAUAGCUGGUUCUCCCCGAAAGCUAUUUAGGUAGCGCCUCGUGAAUUCAUCUCCGGGGGUAGAGCACUGUUUCGGCAAGGGGGUCAUCCCGACUUACCAACCCGAUGCAAACUGCGAAUACCGGAGAAUGUUAUCACGGGAGACACACGGCGGGUGCUAACGUCCGUCGUGAAGAGGGAAACAACCCAGACCGCCAGCUAAGGUCCCAAAGUCAUGGUUAAGUGGGAAACGAUGUGGGAAGGCCCAGACAGCCAGGAUGUUGGCUUAGAAGCAGCCAUCAUUUAAAGAAAGCGUAAUAGCUCACUGGUCGAGUCGGCCUGCGCGGAAGAUGUAACGGGGCUAAACCAUGCACCGAAGCUGCGGCAGCGACGCUUAUGCGUUGUUGGGUAGGGGAGCGUUCUGUAAGCCUGUGAAGGUGUGCUGUGAGGCAUGCUGGAGGUAUCAGAAGUGCGAAUGCUGACAUAAGUAACGAUAAAGCGGGUGAAAAGCCCGCUCGCCGGAAGACCAAGGGUUCCUGUCCAACGUUAAUCGGGGCAGGGUGAGUCGACCCCUAAGGCGAGGCCGAAAGGCGUAGUCGAUGGGAAACAGGUUAAUAUUCCUGUACUUGGUGUUACUGCGAAGGGGGGACGGAGAAGGCUAUGUUGGCCGGGCGACGGUUGUCCCGGUUUAAGCGUGUAGGCUGGUUUUCCAGGCAAAUCCGGAAAAUCAAGGCUGAGGCGUGAUGACGAGGCACUACGGUGCUGAAGCAACAAAUGCCCUGCUUCCAGGAAAAGCCUCUAAGCAUCAGGUAACAUCAAAUCGUACCCCAAACCGACACAGGUGGUCAGGUAGAGAAUACCAAGGCGCUUGAGAGAACUCGGGUGAAGGAACUAGGCAAAAUGGUGCCGUAACUUCGGGAGAAGGCACGCUGAUAUGUAGGUGAAGUCCCUUGCGGAUGGAGCUGAAAUCAGUCGAAGAUACCAGCUGGCUGCAACUGUUUAUUAAAAACACAGCACUGUGCAAACACGAAAGUGGACGUAUACGGUGUGACGCCUGCCCGGUGCCGGAAGGUUAAUUGAUGGGGUCAGCGCAAGCGAAGCUCUUGAUCGAAGCCCCGGUAAACGGCGGCCGUAACUAUAACGGUCCUAAGGUAGCGAAAUUCCUUGUCGGGUAAGUUCCGACCUGCACGAAUGGCGUAAUGAUGGCCAGGCUGUCUCCACCCGAGACUCAGUGAAAUUGAACUCGCUGUGAAGAUGCAGUGUACCCGCGGCAAGACGGAAAGACCCCGUGAACCUUUACUAUAGCUUGACACUGAACAUUGAGCCUUGAUGUGUAGGAUAGGUGGGAGGCUUUGAAGUGUGGACGCCAGUCUGCAUGGAGCCGACCUUGAAAUACCACCCUUUAAUGUUUGAUGUUCUAACGUUGACCCCUAAUCGGGGUUGCGGACAGUGUCUGGUGGGUAGUUUGACUGGGGCGGUCUCCUCCUAAAGAGUAACGGAGGAGCACGAAGGUUGGCUAAUCCUGGUCGGACAUCAGGAGGUUAGUGCAAUGGCAUAAGCCAGCUUGACUGCGAGCGUGACGGCGCGAGCAGGUGCGAAAGCAGGUCAUAGUGAUCCGGUGGUUCUGAAUGGAAGGGCCAUCGCUCAACGGAUAAAAGGUACUCCGGGGAUAACAGGCUGAUACCGCCCAAGAGUUCAUAUCGACGGCGGUGUUUGGCACCUCGAUGUCGGCUCAUCACAUCCUGGGGCUGAAGUAGGUCCCAAGGGUAUGGCUGUUCGCCAUUUAAAGUGGUACGCGAGCUGGGUUUAGAACGUCGUGAGACAGUUCGGUCCCUAUCUGCCGUGGGCGCUGGAGAACUGAGGGGGGCUGCUCCUAGUACGAGAGGACCGGAGUGGACGCAUCACUGGUGUUCGGGUUGUCAUGCCAAUGGCACUGCCCGGUAGCUAAAUGCGGAAGAGAUAAGUGCUGAAAGCAUCUAAGCACGAAACUUGCCCCGAGAUGAGUUCUCCCUGACCCUUUAAGGGUCCUGAAGGAACGUUGAAGACGACGACGUUGAUAGGCCGGGUGUGUAAGCGCAGCGAUGCGUUGAGCUAACCGGUACUAAUGAACCGUGAGGCUUAACCUU